This 164-nucleotide small nuclear RNA is filed under the name Colletotrichum orbiculare MAFF 240422. The record is from RNAcentral. Lineage: Eukaryota; Fungi; Ascomycota; Sordariomycetes; Glomerellales; Glomerellaceae.
GCCUUCGGGCAUUUGGUCAAUUUGAAACGAUACAGAGAAGAUGUAAGCCACACCCCAGAGGUCCCGUGUUCGAGUCUUGUCAGAAUAUAUACUAACGUCGUCACAGUAGCAUGGCCCCUGCACUAAGGAUGACACGCUCAAUCAAAGAGAAGCUACCAAUUUUU